RNAcentral lists this long non-coding RNA (1049 nucleotides) under Phoenix dactylifera (date palm). RNAcentral's name for it is "long non-coding RNA (PDAC_LNC003513)". Lineage: Eukaryota; Viridiplantae; Streptophyta; Magnoliopsida; Arecales; Arecaceae. The record is from RNAcentral.
AAAAAAUUAAAAAGAAAAGAAUCAGGAAACGGAAAACACAAGUAAAAGGGGAGAAUUCAGGGGGCUUUCUUGCUUGCAGUCACCCUCGCCGGAAUCGGAGAAUUCUCGCCGGAGAUCUUAGAUCGGAAGAGAUGAGUUACUUGAACUGGGUUUGGAUGGCGGCGAGUGUAGCGGUGGUGCAGGGCCACAUCCACGGGGACCGGGGCACCAGGUGGAACGCGGGCAAGGGUCGGGUCGCCCCGCCCGGGCUCGUGCCGGCCGCCGGGUUCGGCUUCGGUGGCUUCCAGAUCGGCGACGGGAGCGGGGAGGAGCGCCGGAAGCAGGCGGACGACUCCCUCCACAAGGCCAUGUACAUAAGCUGCUGGGGCCCGAGCUAGACUCCCUCAGCCGGUCUAGGUGGGUUCUUUCACGGUUUGAGGACGAGGGAAAGAGGGACUCCGGCGGCCGGCCGGGAUCGGCGGCAUGCCGGAGAGGUGGCGAGGGUAUAGCGAAUUCUUAAGAGGGCAAAAGGCUAGCUAGAAGACGGUGUGAAUUGUAAAUAAUAGCUAGAAGACGGUGUGAAUUGUAAAUAAGCUUACUGUGUAAUUAUGCUUUCUGAUUACGAGAUAUCAUAAAGUGAUAAAUGGUGCUGAAUUUUGUUAUUUCUCCAGCUUUCGUUUGGUAUACUUCUUGCAUCAAAAUUGGACCGUCAUUACCGUGCUACAGUGCAUUCUUUGUAGAUAAGAGUCCAUUACGGAAUCGAACUCAUCAGUGUCUUUGUCUCAUCCAGGCCAUUAGCUCUCGUGGGGCAAGCUAAACUAAAAUGUUUCCAGCUUGUUUGCUUCUUCCACACCUGUUCUUUGCCCUGCUAGUGAGGGGAGCUGGCUCCUAGUUUAUACUCGCUGCAAACAUGCAACUGGUCUAACGAUGUACAUUGAAUGCUUCGAGAUGGAUCUCUGACAAGUGUUUUCAAGACUGGAUGGCAUUUAUACCUGGCGAAAACUUGUCUUGUGAUCGGCCACUGAAGCAGCCUCUUUUCGUGCUAGUUUGCACAAACAGCUUACUCUCUU